GGAGUUAGCCGGUGCUUCUUCUGCGAGUAACGUCACAGCUAGCAGGUAUUAACUACUAACCUUUCCUCCUCGCUGAAAGUGCUUUAUAACCCGAAGGCCUUCUUCACACACGCGGCAUGGCUGCAUCAGGGUUUCCCCCAUUGUGCAAUAUUCCCCACUGCUGCCUCCCGUAGGAGUCUGGGCCGUGUCUCAGUCCCAGUGUGGCUGAUCAUCCUCUCAGACCAGCUAGGGAUCGUUGCCUAGGUGAGCCAUUACCUCACCUACUAGCUAAUCCCACCUGGGCUUAUCCAUCAGCGCAAGGACCGAAGUUCCCCUGCUUUCCCCCGUAGGGCGUAUGCGGUAUUAGCAGUCGUUUCCAACUGUUAUCCCCCACAAAUGGGCAAAUUCCCAGGCAUUACUCACCCGUCCGCCGCUCGUCAUCUUCAAAAGCAAGCUUUUGAAAUGUUACCGCUCGACUUGCAUGUGUUAGGCCUGCCGCCAGCGUUCAAUCUGAGCCAGAAUCAAACUCUGA
RNAcentral lists this ribosomal RNA (511 nucleotides) under uncultured bacterium. RNAcentral's name for it is "partial 16S ribosomal RNA". The record is from RNAcentral.